Molecule: ribosomal RNA, 429 nt
Filed under: uncultured bacterium
Lineage: Bacteria
Description: bacterial SSU rRNA
Rfam family: Bacterial small subunit ribosomal RNA
Source: RNAcentral
UGGGGAAUCUUGCGCAAUGCGCGAAAGCGUGACGCAGCAACGCCGCGUGGGGGAAGAAGGUUUUCGGAUUGUAAACCCCUUUCAGGAAGGACGAAGGUUCGGCAGUUAAUAGCUGACCGGACUGACGGUACUUCCACAAGAAGGUCCGGCUAACUACGUGCCAGCAGCCGCGGUAAUACGUAGGGACCUAGCGUUGUCCGGAAUCAUUGGGCGUAAAGCGCGCGUAGGCGGCCCGGUAAGUCCGUUGUAAAAGUCAAAGGCUCAACCUUUGAAAGCCGAUGGAUACUGCCGGGCUAGAGUCCGGAAGAGGCGAGUAGAAUUCCUGGUGUAGCGGUGGAAUGCGCAGAUAUCAGGAGGAAUACCCAUAGCGAAGGCAGCUCGCUGGGACGGUACUGACGCUGAGGCGCGAAAGCGUGGGGAGCGAACAGG